GCGGGAUGGAGGUGCCAGCCUGGCCCAGGGAGGGAAAUGUCACCCACAUCAGGCCGGGCAACUCAGGUUCAACCAUCUUGGGAGGGCUGGAAAACCAACCCUGCGUCCAUCCCUCCGGCUCAGUCCUGCCGUGGAGGAGGAAGGAGGACGCGCCCGGGCAUGGCUGCAGAGCUUUUGGGUUCCUGCCGAAUCGACGCCCUCCCCUCUCCCCCCUCAUCCUUCCCGCCUGGCCUGCGUCUCCCCUCCCUUCCCUUCUCCCUCCCAUCCCGCAGCAAACAAAAUGGCUGCUCCAUGGCCAUUUUGUUUCCCAUCUGGAAGGGAAAAGCCGGGACGCCGGGACUUGGCUCUUUUUUGGAGGCUGCGGCCAUGUCCGAGCCCAACUCUCCCGUCUCUACGUGGCACCGGCUGUAGCAAGAGAGAGAAAGGGAAAGAAAAAAAAAAAGAGAGAAAAAAAAAAGAAAAAAAAAAGGACAUUUUGGAAUGAGACCAAAGGCAGAGGCAGAGAGUGGGUAGUUUUGGCGUAUGUUGAGCACUGAAAAUGCCUGGAAUUGCCAAACUGAGCUUUUGUAUGAGCAGCGUAAGGGCUACUCGGUGCACGCAGAGCCGCGGGGCUGCACGGAAUAGCCGGACGGAAAGUGAUUCUGCAUUUCCUUCAGUAGCCUGGAUGUCUUGGCGUUAGUAGCCACGUCACUUUGUUCGUGGACACUCUGAGGAGCAGAUCCCUGCCCUGUGGCACGGGGGGGAUCAGGCUCUGAUAAGGUGCUGGAAUGAUCGUCCUGCUGUUCCUUGAGUGGCUUUCCAGACAUGUGGAGAGAAGCAGACACUUGCAGAGCGGAGCUGGGAAGGAGAGCAGAAAGAGGUGAAAAAUGGCUUUCCUUGCACAGAAAGGACCUGUGGAGCAGCCAAUGCCUGGAUAAGGCUCAUCCUAGUGCCUGGAUAAGGAUGAUCUUAGUGCCUGGAUAAAAAUCAUCUCAGUGCAUGGAUAAAAAUCAUCUCAAUGCCUGGAUAAGAAUCAUCUCAUAGCCUGGAUAAGGAUCAUCCUAUAGACUGGAUAAGAAUCAUCUCAGUGCCUGGAUAAGAAUCAUCUCAGUGCAUGGAUAAGGAUCAUCUCAGUGCCUGGAAAAGAAUCAUCUCAGUGCACGGAUAAAAAUCAUCUCAGUGUCUGGAUAAGGAUCAUCUCAUAGCCUGGAUAAAGAUCAUCUCAGUGCCUUAGGCUGCCACGGUCCCAAGCUGUCCUUGAGGCUGAGGUAGUAGAUUGAAUAGUUGUGGAGUCUGGUCCUCCCUCUGAGCUAACUAUACAAUCUACUGUCUUUCCUAAGGAGACAGUCAGGUCUUCAGCUCUGCUCGUCCAUUUCUACACCAGCUGUGGGGCAGGUGGUGCCAGGAAAGCAAAUCCGUGCUGUGACCCGUCUGUUCUGCUCUGUGGAGGUGAGGUAGUAGGUUGUAUAGUUUGGUGGGAGGGAUUUGAUCCCAUUUCAGGUGAUAACUAUACAGUCUAUUGCCUUCCUUAAAGAGCAGCAAAACCACGGAGGAGCUCCCGAGGCAUUGCUUCUUUUGUUGAGGAUCCAAAAAAGCAGCAUGGCAUUGUUAAACAGCUCAGUGGGUGUUUCUCUUACAGCAUCCAGAACUGCAUUCUUCCAGGAAUUGCUUCAUGCCUCAGGCACUGGAGCAUGGAGCCACCUGCUUCCAGGGAACCCACCUCUCUAAGAUUCCAGAGAACCAGGGAAAUGAGUCUGCACAGCAGCUCAGUGUUCAAUACUAUUCUUUUGUUUUGUUUUGUUUUGUUUUUUUUUUUUUUUUCCAGGAGAUGGAUUCAAGUUGUAAGGUGUUUAAAUGUGUUGAUCUUUUCAGGUCUGGAGGGGAGCAGAUACUUUUGUUUAAAUGGGACAGAUGUGAGUUAAUUAUUUCACGUUUUUGUGCCCAGUUCUGAAGUUUGGGUUCAGAAGCAGACCCAGGGCCAAGCUCAGCCUGUGGACUCAGAGCCCUGGGAGCUGAUCAGAUUUGGCUGCUUGGCCCCUGCUCAGGAAGUGCAUUUGGUUUUGGACAAGUUCCCAGCCUGUCCCAUGGAACAGAGUCAGAGGGUUCUUUCUGCUCUGAUAAUCCCUUAUCAACUGAACUCCCCCACAUGCAAACCCCGUCAGGGAAUUUUGGGGCUCCUGGGUGUUUACAUAAGGUGAACCAAUGAUUCCAACUAAAAUCUUGUCCUGAAGUGGAGACAGGUAAGGAAGAGACAUGAGGCAGAAGGAGCAGGUUCUAAUCCUCCUGGGCUCUCCCUGACAACAGACAUGAGAGAAGUCAUCAUCGCUCAGAGCUCUGGCCCUUGGCAAGGGACAGGGAACUGUUAAUUCUUCUGUUUCUUAGGAGCAGAUGGGACGAUCCCUCUGCCGUUUUCCAGAGUGAGUAGGAUCAGGAGCAGGAGUGGAGCUGUAACCCGAUCAGGGCUGCACCGGGAAGGACAUUUCAGGCCAUUAUCACGAGCAUCUCAGUGCCAGGGAGACUGUGAGACCCGAGACUGGGGAGCGAGGGCAAGCAGAGGACACCUUCUCAGAUGAAAUGGGAGGGAGAGAGCACAGAGAAAUUGGAGCCCUCCCAUUUCAGAGGCUCAGGGAGAGCCAGAGCUGGCUGCUGGAGUCCCCAGGAUGAAGCAGAAUUUCAGGCCCCUCUGCUGGGACAGGGCGGAGCUGCAGCUGCUGGGUGGGGAUGCUGCAGCUCCGAGCAGAGAAGGAAUGCAGCCCUCUCUCCAUAAAUCUGGCUUUUCAGCAGUCCUGGCGACUUGCUGAGCAAAACUACAGCUUGCUGCUCUGAGCUGCAUUAUUAUCCUCCAGCUGCUUGCUCAGGGGCAGGGCUCCUGCCCACAGAUUGCCUGGAAGGUUCCAAAAUAGCAGCACAAGGAUGGGAACAGGGCAGCAAAUCCACUUCAUCUGGAGAGGUGUCCCCUGGAAAAGAGCUAAUCCCACAUGUCCCAGAUGGAUUCUGUUCCGUCCCCCUCCAUGGCAUUGAUACUAAUGCAGAGAAUCUCAAACAGUGGAACUGUGUGAGCUGGAAGCCAUGAAUAAAAUAUUACUGGAGAUAUUCCCUCGUGAAAAUAAACUUGGUUUGACUUUUUUAAAA
This is a long non-coding RNA of Melospiza melodia melodia, 3111 nucleotides long. RefSeq lists it as uncharacterized. NCBI's taxonomy places the organism in Eukaryota, Metazoa, Chordata, Aves, Passeriformes, Passerellidae. The record is from RefSeq and is a predicted model, not a curated record. The transcript has 3 exons.